GGUGUGACCCCAUUCGGGGCCUCUCAUAUAGAGGCAGCGAACAGCCUCCGCCGCGCCACUCUUUCAGCAUGUCACCGCGCGGCACGCUUCUCGCGGUCCUGCUACUCGUCGCGGUGACGCACGCGGGUCCCUGCGGAGACGAUGAAGACCCAGAACGUGCAAGAUUUUGGUCUUGCUUUGCGAGGAAGCUAACCACAGCGGAGAAAAACGUCAUGACCGACCUCAAGAACGUUUUCUUCCGAAGAUCCCAAAAGCAGAUCAAUUAUCAAUGGCUUUGCGACCAGCUGUCAAUGCCAGCGAGGCGACGCCAGC
Rhipicephalus sanguineus (brown dog tick) is the source of this 312-nucleotide long non-coding RNA. RefSeq lists it as uncharacterized. The transcript has 3 exons. NCBI's taxonomy places the organism in Eukaryota, Metazoa, Arthropoda, Arachnida, Ixodida, Ixodidae. The record is from RefSeq and is a predicted model, not a curated record.